CUGCGAAACUGGAAAAAAAAAAGAGAGAAUACAGCAUUUGAAGAUAUUUGUAACUAACUGUGAGAUCCAUGCCUAUUUCUCUUAGUGUCCCCCUUGGAACCUAGCUUCUCUGGGGCCGUGGAGUGCAUUCUGGUUAUCCUUUGCUUUAUGUCUGAUAUCCACUUAUGAGACUCCCAGAGCUCGACCUGAUGCUUGGCUGUGGAUCUCUGUAUCUACUUCCAUCAGAAAGAGCACGGGCCUGCCAUUGCAUGAAUGUGGAGAGUAGAGGCCAACUUGAAGUCAUCUGUAUGAUGAGACCUUGUGAGUCAAAGAGACAAAAUUCUCAUCAUAGUCCUAAGACAAUGGGGAGCCGGGCAUGUCUUCAAAAAGAUGGAAGGAGCUCACAGUGGAAGAGCAAAGAGGGCUAAAACACACCAAGGCCUAAGGAGGCAGCUCAGAUGAAGUUCUGCCCCUUGAACUCACUAUUUCAGCAAUUUCUGACAACCCACGGUGCAGUAUUUUGUUCUGAUAGUCAUCUGUCUUUAAUUUUGCCACUGUCACUGGCUUCUCUGCUCUCCUGCCUGCCCAAGCCCUGAUGUUUGCUGGCUUCCCAAACAUUUGUGACCUCAUCACCAGUGCCUCAUCCUUUAUGUCAACAUGGAAGGAUGGACAUUGCUAGAGGCAUACCUUCUGUGAAUCUACUUG
RNAcentral lists this long non-coding RNA (684 nucleotides) under Cricetulus griseus (Chinese hamster). Its description in RNAcentral is "lncRNA (ENSCGRG00015035128.1)". Lineage: Eukaryota; Metazoa; Chordata; Mammalia; Rodentia; Cricetidae. The record is from RNAcentral.